AGUGAGCGCUGGCGGUAGGCCUAACACGUGCAAGUCGAACGGCAGCACAGAGGAGCUUGCUCCUUGGGUGGCGAGUGGCGGACGGGUGAGGAAUACAUCGGAAUCUACUCUGCCGUGGGGGAUAACGUAGGGAAACUUACGCUAAUACCGCAUACGACCUACGGGUGAAAGCAGGGGAUCUUCGGACCUUGCGCGAUUGAAUGAGCCGAUGUCGGAUGAGCGAGUGGGCGGGGUACAGGCCCACCAAGGCGACGAUCCGUAGCUGGUCUGAGAGGAGGAUCAUACAUACUGGAACUGAGAGACGGUCCAGAAUCCUACGGGAGGCAGCAGUGGGGAAUAUUGGACAAUGGGCGCAAGCCUGAUCCAGCCAUACCGCGUGGGUGAAGAAGGCCUUCGGGUUGUAAAGCCCUUUUGUUGGGAAAGAAAUCCAUCUGGUUAAUACCCGGGUGGGAUGACGGUACCCAAAGAAUAAGCACCGGCUAACUUCGUGCCAGCCGCCGCAGUAA
Molecule: ribosomal RNA, 506 nt
Filed under: uncultured bacterium
Lineage: Bacteria
Description: partial 16S ribosomal RNA
Rfam family: Bacterial small subunit ribosomal RNA
Source: RNAcentral